RNAcentral lists this unclassified non-coding RNA (253 nucleotides) under uncultured Parcubacteria group bacterium. Its description in RNAcentral is "contains 16S-23S intergenic spacer region". It matches the Rfam family "Bacterial small subunit ribosomal RNA", at positions 524 to 776 of the family's 1533-position model. The record is from RNAcentral.
UACGAGUGCCCCAAGCGUUAUCCGGAAUUAUUGGGCGUAAAGGGUCCGUAGGCGGUCUUAUUAGUCUCUUGUUAAAGCUCCCGGCUCAACUGGGAAAAAGUGAGAGAAACGGUAAGACUAGAGAGUGUGGGGGGUGUACGGAACUCACAGUGUAGGGGUGAAAUCCGUUGAUAUUGUGGGGAACACCAAAAGCGAAGGCAGUACACUAACACAUUUCUGACGCUGAGGGACGAAAGCGUGGGUCGCGAAGGGG